UAUCAACAUCAAGAGUCUUUAAGUAGACAGCAACAGAGUGACAACACCACUGUGCUACCAUGAUGGGCCUUUAAAAGGAAAAAUGUUGUAAUC
Molecule: non-coding RNA, 93 nt
Filed under: Zhouia amylolytica
Lineage: Bacteria; Pseudomonadati; Bacteroidota; Flavobacteriia; Flavobacteriales; Flavobacteriaceae
Also listed under: 1 other name
Description: SAM-I-IV sequence
Rfam family: SAM-I/IV (S-adenosyl methionine) riboswitch aptamer
About the family: It is found upstream of a number of genes which code for proteins involved in methionine or cysteine biosynthesis.
Source: RNAcentral